Molecule: ribosomal RNA, 494 nt
Filed under: uncultured bacterium
Lineage: Bacteria
Description: partial 16S ribosomal RNA
Rfam family: Bacterial small subunit ribosomal RNA
Source: RNAcentral
GACGAACGCUGGCGGCGCGCUUAACACAUGCAAGUCGAACGGAAAGGCCUGCUUUCCCUUGUGGAUUGCGGGUACUCGAGUGGCGAACGGGUGAGUAACACGUGAGUGAUCUGCCCCCAACUUGGGUAUAAGCCUGGGAAACUGGGUCUAAUUCCCGAUAGGACUGCAGGGUGGUGCCUGUGGUGGAAAACGAUUUUCUAGUGGUUGGGGAUGAGCUCGCGGCCUAUCAGCUUGUUGGUGGGGUAAUGGCCUACCAAGGCGGCGACGGGUAGCCGGCCCGGGGGGGUGGACGGCCACAUUGGGACUGAGAUACGGCCCAGACUCCUACGGGAGGCAGCAGUGGGGAAUAUUGCACAAUGGGCGGAAGCCUGAUGCAGCGACGCCGCGUGGGGGAUGACGGCCUUCGGGUUGUAACCUCCUUUCGACCGCGAGGAAGCCACCUGGUUGGAAGGGUGGUGACGGUAGUGGUAGAAGAAGCACCGGCUAACUACGUG